AGAGUUUGAUCAUGGCUCAGAACGAACGCUGGCGGCAUGCCUAACACAUGCAAGUCGAACGGGAUCCGAGCUUCGGUUCGGUGAGAGUGGCGGACGGGUGAGUAACGCGUGGGAACCUGCCCAGUGGUGGGGGAUAACUGCGGGAAACUGCAGCUAAUACCGCAUGAGCCCGAGAGGGGAAAGAUUUAUCGCCAUUGGAGGGGCCCGCGUUCGAUUAGGUAGUUGGUGAGGUAACGGCUCACCAAGCCGACGAUCGAUAGCUGGUCUGAGAGGAUGAUCAGCCACACUGGGACUGAGAUACGGCCCAGACUCCUACGGGAGGCAGCAGUGGGGAAUAUUGGACAAUGGGGGCAACCCUGAUCCAGCGACGCCGCGUGGGUGAAGAAGGCCUGCGGGUUGUAAAGCCCUUUCAGUGGGGAAGAAAAGCCUCGACCUAACACGUCGGGGUCUUGACGUAACCCAUAGAAGAAGCACCGGCUAACUCUGUGCCAGCAGCCGCGGUAAUUC
RNAcentral lists this ribosomal RNA (507 nucleotides) under uncultured bacterium. RNAcentral describes it as "bacterial SSU rRNA". It matches the Rfam family "Bacterial small subunit ribosomal RNA", at positions 8 to 526 of the family's 1533-position model. The record is from RNAcentral.